AUUGGAUGCAAGACUGUGACGAAUCUAAAGAUGAAGUAUUUUUUAAUAAUUUCUUUUUUAUAUAUUUUUAAUUUUAUGUAAAAAUUGUGCAUAUAUAUAUAUAUAUAUAUGUGUAUAUUCCAUUUUUGCACGUAUAGGAGUUUGUAAAAAACUUAAAUUCUAUCAUAGCUAAUGAUAUAAGUAAAGACGUAAGUAAUAAAAGAAAGUAUCACCCGAGCAGCCAAGUAUCAGGACUAAAUGAUUUUAUGUCUCCAAAAAAUAAGAAUUCGCAAAAUGGAGAUUCAAAUAAAGUUUCUUUUAAUGAUAUAUUUGAAAGUGAACAUAUAUAUAAAUUGUUAGAGAUUCCUGAAGCUCUUGAAGAAUUGAAGAAGUUAACCAUUUAAUUGAAAAAAAAAAAGAAAAAAAAAGACAAAAAUAUAUAUAUAUAUAUAUAUAUAUAUAUAUAU
This 446-nucleotide long non-coding RNA is filed under the name Piliocolobus tephrosceles (Ugandan red Colobus). RNAcentral's name for it is "lncRNA (ENSPTEG00000000104.1)". The record is from RNAcentral. Lineage: Eukaryota; Metazoa; Chordata; Mammalia; Primates; Cercopithecidae.